This is a non-coding RNA of Xylaria intraflava, 140 nucleotides long. NCBI's taxonomy places the organism in Eukaryota, Fungi, Ascomycota, Sordariomycetes, Xylariales, Xylariaceae. The record is from the annotation of a GenBank genome assembly.
GGGCGAAUGGUCUAGGGGUAUGAUAUUCGCUUUGCAUCUACAAAAAAAGUCCUGAGGAAUUUCUUUCGGUUUGAGGCCGUCGUUUGUUCCGUGUAAUAUGUGCUUGCGAAGGGUCCGGGGUUCAAAUCCCCGUUCGUCCA